Molecule: ribosomal RNA, 464 nt
Filed under: uncultured bacterium
Lineage: Bacteria
Description: bacterial SSU rRNA
Rfam family: Bacterial small subunit ribosomal RNA
Source: RNAcentral
GGGCCCGCACAAGCGGUGGAGCAUGUGGUUUAAUUCGACGCAACGCGAAGAACCUUACCAAGGCUUGACAUCCCUCUGACCGGACUUUAAUAGGUCCUUCUCUUCGGAGCAGAGGAGACAGGUGGUGCAUGGUUGUCGUCAGCUCGUGUCGUGAGAUGUUGGGUUAAGUCCCGCAACGAGCGCAACCCUUACUUCUAGUUGCUACCAUUAAGCUGAGCACUCUAGAGGGACUGCCGGUGACAAACCGGAGGAAGGUGGGGAUGACGUCAAAUCAUCAUGCCCCUUAUGUCUUGGGCUACACACGUGCUACAAUGGGCAGUACAGAGGGCUGCAAGACCGCGAGGUGGAGCAAAUCCCUUAAAGCUGUUCUCAGUUCGGAUUGCAGGCUGCAACUCGCCUGCAUGAAGUCGGAAUCGCUAGUAAUCGCAGGUCAGCAUACUGCGGUGAAUACGUUCCCGGGCCUU